This 813-nucleotide long non-coding RNA is filed under the name Nicotiana tabacum (common tobacco). Its description in RNAcentral is "long non-coding RNA (NTAB_LNC004330)". The record is from RNAcentral. Lineage: Eukaryota; Viridiplantae; Streptophyta; Magnoliopsida; Solanales; Solanaceae.
UCUAACAGAACAUGAAAGUGAAACAAUCUAAACCAAACCUAAUAGUUUAAUUAAGAUUCAUACAGGAAAAGACAAGAAAUAUUGGUAUAGAAAACAUCAAGCAAACCAUUAAACCAAGCAAUGAACUCUAUACUUCAUUCAGAAUUAAUAGCCUCAACUGAAAUCAUUUCAUGUCCAUCUCCCUUUUUAGCAAAAACUUCAUCGAAUUUUAAACCAUUAAACCCAUUUCAAACCAAAAACUCUUAUCAUACUAACAAUCAGACCAAACAACAAGAUAAGGAGAAAGGAAAUGGACCUGAAAUCGCUUUGCAGUAUAUUCAAAUCUUCAAAAAUUACAGAGCGGCGAGAACUCGAACCAAAAGUUGCAAACAACAGAAGAAGCAAGAGUGAGGCGAGAACUGCGAGCUCGGACUACGGACGACAACUCAAAUCGGCACCUCAACUCAGCUAAAUUCCAUAGUGAUAACCAAAAUCCUAAAUCAGAAGGAGAAACAUAAUUUUUUUUUUCUUUUUCGUUUGUAUUUAUAUUUUUGAAAUUAAACUAAGUCAAAAAAUCUGAAAAAUUCCAAAUGAAGACAGAAGGAGAAUUUUUUUUCAACCCUAGCUUCUUUCCGAACCUUUUUUUUCUCCCUUUAUGUCCGAAAAUCCCAAAUAUAUAGCCCCUCUUGAAUCUUCUUCUCCUCUUCUCCAAGUAACGCCCAAAACUGUGUGGACCCCAAAACAAAAUCCGAAAAUCCCUUUUGACAAACAAAAAAAAAAAAUAGAAACUUUGGACAAAAAUCUUCAUCCAACGAUUCCCAUUCUUCCAAGAUU